CCUACGGGAGGCAGCAGUGAGGAAUAUUGGUCAAUGGACGAGAGUCUGAACCAGCCAAGUAGCGUGAAGGAUGACUGCCCUAUGGGUUGUAAACUUCUUUUAUAUGGGAAUAAAACGUUCCACGUGUGGGAUUUUGUAUGUACCAUAUGAAUAAGGAUCGGCUAACUCCGUGCCAGCAGCCGCGGUAAUACGGAGGCUCCGAGCGUUAUCCGGAUUUAUUGGGUUUAAAGGGAGCGUAGGUGGAUUGUUAAGUCAGUUGUGAAAGUUUGCGGCUCAACCGUAAAAUUGCAGUUGAAACUGGCAGUCUUGAGUACAGUAGAGGUGGGCGGAAUUCGUGGUGUAGCGGUGAAAUGCUUAGAUAUCACGAAGAACUCCGAUUGCGAAGGCAGUUCACUGGACUGCAACUGACACUGAGGCUCGAAAGUGUGGGUAUCAAACAGGAUUAGAUACCCUUGUAGUC
Molecule: ribosomal RNA, 460 nt
Filed under: uncultured bacterium
Lineage: Bacteria
Description: partial 16S ribosomal RNA
Rfam family: Bacterial small subunit ribosomal RNA
Source: RNAcentral